This 239-nucleotide unclassified non-coding RNA is filed under the name uncultured fungus. RNAcentral's name for it is "sequence contains ITS1". Lineage: Eukaryota; Fungi. The record is from RNAcentral.
GUAUUGUAUUGCGUUAAACGCGGCAAACAUUCCAUGAGACUUUACGGCAGUGUGUGUGUGUGUAAAGGUGUAGAACCACGGGCAAGGGGGACAAAGUCACCCAGGCCAUGGAGCUACAGAGGGUGCACAGGUGUGGGUGGAUGUGUAAACAGAGCGUGCACAUGCCCCCGGUUUGGGGACCAGCAACAACUCGUGUUGACAAUUCGGUAAUGAUCCUUCCGCAGGUUCACCUACGGAAA